CACUCCGAUAUUGUCCUGUCACAGCAGUAAUGUCACGUAUCUGAAUCGUACUGCUGUCGCGGGACAUUUUCGGAGCU
This is a non-coding RNA of Acyrthosiphon pisum (pea aphid), 77 nucleotides long. The record is from Rfam. Lineage: Eukaryota; Metazoa; Arthropoda; Insecta; Hemiptera; Aphididae.